AGAGUUUGAUCAUGGCUCAGGACGAACGCUUGCGACGUGCCUAAGAAAUGCAAGUCGAACGAGGUAGCAAUACCUAGUGGCGAACGGUCGCGUAACACGUGGGCAACCUGCCCUAGAGUGGGGGAUAACAAUCCGAAAGGAUUGCUAAUACCGCAUGUGAAUACUGAAGGCAUCUUUGGCUAUUCAAAGGAUUUAUUCGCUCUAGGAUGGGCCCGCGGCCUAUCAGCUAGUUGGUGAGGUAACGGCCCACCAAGGCUUCGACGGGUAGCUGGUCUGAGAGGACGAUCAGCCGGAUUGGGACUGAGAUACGGCCCAGACUCCUACGGGGGGCAGCAAUUAGGAAUCUUGCGCAAUGGGGGGAACCCUGACGCAGCGACGUCGCGUGAAGGAUGAAAUCUUUCGGGAUGUAAACUUCUUUUAUCAGGGAAGAAACAAAUGACGGUACCUGAUGAAUAAGCCCCGGCUAACUACGUGCCAGCAGCCGCGGUAAUACGUAGGGGGCGAGCGUUGUCCGAAGUUACUGGGCGUAAAGCGCGUGUAGGCGGGUUCUUAAGUGAGUGGUGAAAGGUUUGGGCUUAACCCAGACACUGCCUUUCAUACUGGGAACCUUGAGUGCGGGAGAGGCGAGUGGAAUGGUCGGUGUAGCGGUGAAAUGCGUAGAUAUCGAUCGGAACACCCAUGGCGAAAGCAGCUCGCUGGCCUGUAACUGACGCUGAGACGCGAAAGCGUGGGGAGCAAACAGGAUUAGAUACCCUGGUAGUCCACGCCGUAAACGAUGAGUGCUAGUGUCAGGGGUAUCGACCCCCCUGGUGCCGCAGCUAACGCAAUAAGCACUCCGCCUGGGGAGUACGGCCGCA
This 857-nucleotide ribosomal RNA is filed under the name uncultured bacterium. RNAcentral's name for it is "bacterial SSU rRNA". It matches the Rfam family "Bacterial small subunit ribosomal RNA", at positions 8 to 890 of the family's 1533-position model. The record is from RNAcentral.